CUACGGGGGGCAGCAGUGGGGAAUCUUGCGCAAUGGGCGAAAGCCUGACGCAGCAACGCCGUGUGAAGGAUGAAGGUCUGAGGAUUGUAAACUUCUGUUAGGGGGGAAGAAGUACUGACGGUACCCCCAAAGAAAGCACCGGCUAACUCCGUGCCAGCAGCCGCGGUAAUACGGAGGGUGCAAGCGUUAUUCGGAAUUACUAGGUGUAAAGGGCGUGUAGGUGGUUUGUUAAGUUAGAUGUGAAAUCUCACAGCUCAACUGUGGGGCUGCAUUUAAAACUGGCAGACUUGAGUAUAGGAGGGGGAAACGGAAUUUCUGGUGUAGCGGUGGAAUGCGUAGAUACCAGAAGGAACACCGACGGCGAAAGCGGUUUCCUGGCCUAAUACUGACACUAAGGCGCGAAAGCUAGGGGAGCAAACAGGAUUAGAUACCCCCGUAGUC
This 441-nucleotide ribosomal RNA is filed under the name uncultured bacterium. Its description in RNAcentral is "partial 16S ribosomal RNA". It matches the Rfam family "Bacterial small subunit ribosomal RNA", at positions 339 to 795 of the family's 1533-position model. The record is from RNAcentral.